This 589-nucleotide ribosomal RNA is filed under the name Vibrio cholerae. RNAcentral describes it as "partial 23S ribosomal RNA". It matches the Rfam family "Bacterial large subunit ribosomal RNA", at positions 2173 to 2761 of the family's 2925-position model. The record is from RNAcentral. Lineage: Bacteria; Pseudomonadati; Pseudomonadota; Gammaproteobacteria; Vibrionales; Vibrionaceae.
AGUUGCGUUGGAGCCGUCCUUGAAAUACCACCCUUGUAUGUUUGAUGUUCUAACUUAGACCCGUUAUCCGGGUUGAGGACAGUGCCUGGUGGGUAGUUUGACUGGGGCGGUCUCCUCCCAAAGAGUAACGGAGGAGCACGAAGGUGGGCUAAUCACGGUUGGACAUCGUGAGGUUAGUGCAAUGGCAUAAGCCCGCUUAACUGCGAGAAUGACGGUUCGAGCAGGUGCGAAAGCAGGUCAUAGUGAUCCGGUGGUUCUGUAUGGAAGGGCCAUCGCUCAACGGAUAAAAGGUACUCCGGGGAUAACAGGCUGAUACCGCCCAAGAGUUCAUAUCGACGGCGGUGUUUGGCACCUCGAUGUCGGCUCAUCACAUCCUGGGGCUGAAGUCGGUCCCAAGGGUAUGGCUGUUCGCCAUUUAAAGUGGUACGCGAGCUGGGUUUAGAACGUCGUGAGACAGUUCGGUCCCUAUCUGCCGUGGGCGUUGGAAGAUUGAAGGGGGCUGCUCCUAGUACGAGAGGACCGGAGUGGACGAACCUCUGGUGUUCGGGUUGUGUCGCCAGACGCAUUGCCCGGUAGCUAAGUUCGGAAU